GCUUGGGAAGGCUGACAUUAAAGACAUUUUGGAACGUGCUGCAGAUAUAUAUAAUAACUUUACAAAUGAAAGUUUAAUGAAGUCAAAAAGACAGGCUUGUGAAUCAGUAAAGAAAGUUGAUUACAUGACAGUGUACACAUCUAAUCUUGUGAAGGCAGUCCGUAAAGCUGCAGGAAAUAUAGAGAAGCCAUUGGAGGGGUUCCAUAUAAUUGUUGAUGCAGGAAAUGGAGCAGGAGGAUUUUUUGCUGUAAGUUUUAUUCACUUUUUUGUAUAGAGAUUGAUUUGGCUCCUCUUUUGUCAGUAUAAGGAUUUGAUCUUUACUUAUUUGUGGUACUUGAACGCAUAUGUAAAUGUAAUUGUUCCCUGAUCUGAACAGUUACUAGUCCUAGUUAUUCAAGCUACCAUUGCUAUCAUUGGCAUGUAAACCAACCCUUCUGACUUUUGUUUGCAUGAGUUAUGAUUGCUGCUAUCGACUGUUGAUAUCCAUUGUCAGCAGCAUUUUUGUUACGUGACCUUUUCUUCACUUGCCUAGGCGUCAGGUCACCAUGCCUUGGUGGUCUAUCAAAAUUGUAAAUCAUACAGAUAAUCUCCUGUUAUUUGACGAUGCCAUGGUGAUCCAUCAAAAGCAAUCUUACCUUGAUAUAGGCAUAUGAAGUUUAAAAUUCAAUGACUUGAUGAGAUUUGAUAGCUCUAACAUUUCUACAAAGCAUUUGGUAUUAAUUCAAAAUAUCAUCAUGGUGUUUUUGGUUGAUGUUGCACAAUUUUUUAGAAAAAUUGUAAUUUACUGUAGAGAAAAACAAGUAAAUUGAUCUAUUAAAAGAAAUAAGCUGUAUUCACUUUAAACAUGCCCUGAUUAUUACUGGUUCCUUUGUAUCUCCUGUGAGAAGAGAAGAUUGGCCCAAUGCUAUGCUAUAUGAAGCAUUAUAAACUGGUUUCAUUUGCAUGAAGUUUUAAACUUAAAUAACACAAGGAUGUGUGUAUUAUCAUUUGCCUGACCUAAUUUCCCAUCUUCUUUCUAUUUAAGUUUUCUUUUCUUAUAUCACCUGAGAAAUUAAGGAGAAAAUUUUCCGCCUCGUGUGGUAAAAAGGUCCCUUCUUUUUGGAAAAGAAAUUCUCUUGGGUUAAAGGAGAUGUUAUCUGUGAUUUUUGUGUUGGUCCAUAUUGAUCUCUCAGUCAUGCACUAAAAAAAGCUGGCUAUGAUAGGAUAUAAUGAAGAGGCAUAAACAAAAUUUUUACAAUUGCUUUUUUAAUUCUGCCCAUUUGAUGUUGGUAUUUUGUUUCAAUUAUUCAUUAGGCAAAAGUUCUUCAGCCUUUAGGGGCUAUCACUAAUGGCAGUCAGUUCUUGGAACCAGAUGGUAAUUUGAAAUUUCAAAAAUUCUUUAUGGUGUUUGAUAUAGGAACUUGUUAUUAAAAGGAUAUUUGAAAACAGGUUUGUUUCCUAAUCAUAUUCCCAACCCGGAGGACAAGGUAGCAAUGAAAGCUAUCACCCAAGCAGUCCUUCAAAACAAGGCUGAUCUGGGGAUCAUAUUUGAUACUGAUGUUGACAGAUCUGCUGCUGUGGAUUCUACUGGUCGUGAGUUCAACCGGAAUCGUCUUAUUGCUUUAAUGUCUGCAAUAGUUCUGGAGGAACAUCCAGGAACAACUAUUGUUACAGACAGUGUGACUUCAGAUGGCCUGACUACAUUUAUUGAAAAGAAACUUGGGGGAAAGCACCAUCGGUUCAAGAGAGGCUAUAAAAAUGUCAUUGAUGAAGCUAUUCGUUUGAACUCGAUUGGUGAGGAGUCACAUCUAGCUAUUGAAACAAGCGGGCAUGGAGCUCUCAAGGAAAAUCACUGGCUGGAUGAUGGUGCUUACCUCAUGGUCAAACUUUUGAAUAAACUGGCUUCAGCCAGAGCAUCAGGAGUUGGUGGUGGCAGCAAAGUGUUGACCAAUCUGGUAGAGGGUCUACAGGAACCAGCAGUUGCUGUAGAAUUGAGACUUAAAAUCAUUCAGAAUCAUCCAGAUCUUAAAGGAGGAUCUUUCCGGGAAUAUGGAGAGGCUGUGCUAAAACACUUGGAGAACUCCGUGGAUUUAGACCCAAAGCUUCAGAAAGCUCUUGUCAACUAUGAAGGGGUUCGAGCUUCUGGUUAUGGUGGGUGGUUCCUUCUUAGACUCUCGCUUCAUGAUCCUGUUCUUCCCCUUAACAUUGAGGCACCUAGCAAUGAUGAUGCUGUGAAACUUGGACUUUCUGUUGCUUCUGCUGUGAAGGAGUUUGCUGCUCUGGAUACAUCUGCCUUGGACAAAUUUAUCCAACCAUGAUAAGUGCAAGCCUGUUCGUUUUCAGCACGUCUGCUGCAGUUGGUAACUUGAGAAAGUUCGUCUUGUCAGCUCUUGGUUUGCCUCUGGUGCUAUAAUACACAAUGUGAAUGUUCCAGGUUUAAAAUUACAUAGAUAGGAAUAAUACAGGGAAGAAUGUCGUAAUCACGAGAUCAAUGUCAUCUUAAUCCAUAAUAAAACAUUGCAUUUUUGGUUAAGCAUGAAGAUGCAAGAGUUUGUUGAGGUUUAUUUAGUCCGUGAGCCAAUGCAUUUCAUCUGCACAAAGAGGUUAUCUUUCACAUUGAUAUGAACUAUUAUCCUUGUGUGAGAUCCUAGUUUAUCUGUGGAUGCUAUGUUUGAGAUCCCAAAAUGCUUUGCAUGGGAAAUGGGAAAUGCUCAGUGUAUGCUUUAUUUAUUAUCAAAUUAAGAUAAAUUGUAGUUUAAUCCUUGGGGUUUGAACUUAAUAACAAAUGAGGA
RNAcentral lists this unclassified non-coding RNA (2771 nucleotides) under Hevea brasiliensis (rubber tree). The record is from RNAcentral. Lineage: Eukaryota; Viridiplantae; Streptophyta; Magnoliopsida; Malpighiales; Euphorbiaceae.